CCUACGGGGGGCAGCAGUGGGGAAUAUUGCACAAUGGGGGAAACCCUGAUGCAGCAACGCCGCGUGAGCGAUGAAGGCCUUCGGGUCGUAAAGCUCUGUCCUAAGGGAAGAAUACUGACGGUACCUUAGGAGGAAGCCCCGGCUAACUACGUGCCAGCAGCCGCGGUAAUACGUAGGGGGCUAGCGUUAUCCUGAAUUACUGGGCGUAAAGGGUGCGUAGGCGGCCCUUCAAGUCAGAGAUGAAAGGCUACGGCGCAACCCUGGUAAGCAGUUGAAACUGUAGGGCUUGCGUGCAGGAGGGGAGAUUGGAAUUCCCUGUGUAGCGGGGAAAGGCGUAGAUAUUGGGAAGAACACCCGGUAGGGAGGCUGCUUUCUGGACUGGAAUUGACGGUGAGGCACGAAAGCGUGGGGAGCGAAUCGGAGUAGAUACCCUUGUAGUC
Molecule: ribosomal RNA, 440 nt
Filed under: uncultured bacterium
Lineage: Bacteria
Description: bacterial SSU rRNA
Rfam family: Bacterial small subunit ribosomal RNA
Source: RNAcentral